AGAAUCAACGCUGGCGGCGUGCCUAACACAUGCAAGUCGCACGAGAAAGGGGAGCAAUCCCUGAGUAAAGUGGCGCACGGGUGAGUAACACGUGAAUCAUCUACCUCCGAGUGGGGAAUAACCUAGAGAAAUCUGGGCUAAUACCGCAUAACACUUACGAGUCAAAGCAGCAAUGCGCUUGGAGAGGAGUUCGCGGCCGAUUAGUUAGUUGGCGGGGUAAUGGCCCACCAAGACGAUGAUCGGUAUCCGGCCUGAGAGGGCGCACGGACACACUGGAACUGAAACACGGUCCAGACUCCUACGGGAGGCAGCAGUGGGGAAUUUUGCGCAAUGGGGGAAACCCUGACGCAGCAACGCCGCGUGGAGGAUGAAAUAUCUUGGUAUGUAAACUCCUUUCGAUGGGGAAGAUUAUGACGGUACCCAUAGAAGAAGCCCCGGCUAACUUCGCGCCAGCAGCCGC
Molecule: ribosomal RNA, 460 nt
Filed under: uncultured bacterium
Lineage: Bacteria
Description: SSU rRNA
Rfam family: Bacterial small subunit ribosomal RNA
Source: RNAcentral